AUGCUGCUGCCUUGUUGCCUCUCUCCAGCCUCGCGCAGAUGCACACACAUGCAUACGCACACAUGCACGUGCAUGCACGUGUGCACACAUGCAUGCACACAYGCACACGUGCAUGCACAUGUGCACACGUAUACAUGCACGCUUGCUGAUGCGGGGCUGCCCUUGCUCCCUGCGCAGUGCGUGUCAGCCCGGCACGGCCCCGCCGCAGCCCAUCGCUUCGCAUCAGGGCAGCUGGCGGUGAUGCCCGCCGCCCGCGGUGCCGGCAGGCCGAGCCGUGGCGAGCGGCCGUGGCGCGCUGCCAGGCCCUGCGCCGCGCUGCUGCAGCUCGCCGCGGCCCCGCUGCUCCCCAGGCGCCCUCGGCGGAGGGGGCUGCGCUUCGGCCCCUCGGACCCCCGUUUCUGUGGGGAGCCGGGUCCCCGCCGGGUCUCUCUCCAGCCUCCCUGGCCAGGCCUGCGCAGGGCUGAGCACUGCGGCAGCUCGUCUCACGGUGCACGGGGAAGGGGGGCAGCGAAGCAGCCGGGGGCACUGCAGGGGGUUUCUGCCCUCYGCGCGGGAGCUGCUGGGGCGAUCUGGUGCAGGAGCCGGCGGCUCCCCGGCUGGGCGCACGUGUGCGGGACGGGUCACCCGGCUGCUCGCCGAGGACGCGGCCGCCGGCCCUGCGCAGGCGGGAGGCUGCUGCAAUGCAGAGGGCUGGUUCUGCAGACGCUGCCCGGCGAGACGGACGCCUGUCCGUCCUUCCAAAACCAGGAGCUCUCGCCGACGGUGCCCCCUCUYCCCACCCAGGCGGAGACAUCCCGGUUUUGCCCUGCAUCCCGUGCCCCCAGGAGCUGCCACCGCAGGCUCCCCCGGCACCAGGGGAGGAACCCAGGGCGCCGCAGGGCUGCCCAGCAGGGCUCCGGCAUUUGCACCAGCUCCUCGCUCCUGGCUUCCAUGGCCGGGGGGAAGCAGCCGGGGCGCACACGGGUACCAGCACUGGGGCUUGCUCCGGGGCUCCCCCCGGGUCCCUUUCCCACUGCCGCCUCCCUCCCUGACCCUGGCUGCUGCCUCCCUGCCCUGCUCACACCAGGCUUUGGGAUCCGGAAUAACUCCGCAGGCAGAGCCGGGCCCUGCUGGGAGCCGCAGCUGGGUAUAAAAGCCCCGGGGCGGCGCAGCUGGGCCCUCGGCGGAGGGAGCUGA
RNAcentral lists this long non-coding RNA (1176 nucleotides) under Apteryx haastii (Great spotted kiwi). RNAcentral describes it as "lncRNA (ENSAHAG00000017999.1)". The record is from RNAcentral. Lineage: Eukaryota; Metazoa; Chordata; Aves; Apterygiformes; Apterygidae.